This 71-nucleotide transfer RNA is filed under the name Candidatus Subteraquimicrobiales bacterium. RNAcentral describes it as "tRNA-Gln". It matches the Rfam family "tRNA". From Rfam's summary of the family: Transfer RNA (tRNA) molecules are approximately 80 nucleotides in length. The record is from RNAcentral. Lineage: Bacteria; Bacillati; Actinomycetota; Candidatus Aquicultoria; Candidatus Subteraquimicrobiales.
UCGGGGGUCGUCUAAUGGUAGGACGGCAGACUCUGGAUCUGCUAGUGUUGGUUCGAGUCCAGCCCCCCGAG